This is a non-coding RNA of Ascosphaera acerosa, 100 nucleotides long. The record is from the annotation of a GenBank genome assembly. NCBI's taxonomy places the organism in Eukaryota, Fungi, Ascomycota, Eurotiomycetes, Onygenales, Ascosphaeraceae.
GGCCGCAUGGCCCAAUUGGCAAGGCGCUUGACUACGAUUUCCAAACUUCCAAAGUUCGGUUGCAAUCAAGCGAUUCUGGGUUCGAAUCCCAGUGUGGUCA